This 75-nucleotide transfer RNA is filed under the name Brucella daejeonensis. Its description in RNAcentral is "Ochrobactrum daejeonense tRNA-Asp". It matches the Rfam family "tRNA". Rfam says of the family: Transfer RNA (tRNA) molecules are approximately 80 nucleotides in length. Their secondary structure includes four short double-helical elements and three loops (D, anti-codon, and T loops). The record is from RNAcentral. Lineage: Bacteria; Pseudomonadati; Pseudomonadota; Alphaproteobacteria; Hyphomicrobiales; Brucellaceae.
GCGGGUGUAGCUCAGUUGGUUAGAGUGCCGGCCUGUCACGCCGGAGGUCGCGGGUUCGAGCCGUCACUCGCGCCA